CUGUUUCCGCUGUUCAAGAUGUGGACCCUUAUACAUCGGCGAUACCAAACGCAGACUGGGCGAUCAUUUCGCUGACAACCUUCGCACAGUCCGCCUGAAACUAUCUGAUCUCCCGGUUGCUGGACACUUUAAUUCUCCUUCCCAUUCCCACGCAGACCUUCCUGUCCCAGGUCUCCUCCAUUGUCAGAUCGAGACUAAACUCAAAUUGGAGGACCAGCAACUCAUAUUUCGCUUGGGCAGAUUACAGACCAAAGGUAUGAAUAUUGAGUUCUCUAACUUCAAGUAACCCCGACAUUCCCUCUCUCUCCAUCCCUCCCCCACCCAAGUCACAGCAGCUUCUCAUUUACACCCAACAAAGCUAACAACGGCCUAUUUCCUUUAUAACCAUAUAACAAUUACAGCACGGAAACAGGCCAUCUCGGCCCUACAAGUCCGUGCCGAACAACUUUUUUCCCUUAGUCCCACCUGCCUGCACUCAUACCAUAACCUUCCAUUCCCUUCUCAUCCAUAUGCCUAUCCAAUUUAUUUUUAAAUGAUACCAACGAACCUGCCGACACCACUUCCACUGGAAGCUCAUUCCACACCGCUACCACUCUGUGAGUAAAGAAGUUCCCCCUCAUGUUACCCCUAAACUUCUGUCCCUUAAUUCUGAAGUCAUGUCCUCUUGUUUGAAUCUUCCCUAUUCUCAAAGGGAAAAGCUUGUCCACAUCAACUCUGUCUAUCCCUCUCAUCAUUUUAAAGACCUCUAUCAAGUCCCCCCUUAACCUUCUGCGCUCCAGAGAACAAAGACCUAACUUAUUCAACCUAUCUCUGUAACUUAGUUGUUGAAACCCAGGCAACAUUCUAGUAAAUCUCCUCUGUACUCUCUCUAUUUUGUUGACAUCCUUCCUAUAAUUGGGCGACCAAAAUUGUACACCAUACUCCAGAUUUGGUCUUACCAAUGCCUUGUACAAUUUUAACAUUACAUCCCAGCUUCUAUACUCAAUGCUCUGAUUUAUAAAGGCUAGCAUACCAAAAGCUUUCUUUGCCACCCUAUCUAUAUGAGAUUCCACCUUCAAGGAACUAUGCACGGUUAUACCCAGAUCCCUCUGUUCAACUGUAUUCUUCAAUUCCCUAACAAUUAUCAUCGUUACUUUUUAGCAUAUCUAUCGUUCAUUGUUGUUUAUCUCUCUACAUCAUCGUCUAUAUCUCUCGUUUCCCUUAUCCCUAACCAGUCUGAAGAAGGGUCUCGACCCAAAAUGUCACCCAUUCCUUCUCUCCACAGAUGAUGGCUGACCCCCCUGAGUUACUCCAGCUUUUUGUGUCUAUCUGCGGUUUAAACCAGCAUCUGCAGUUCCUUCAUAUACGCUUGUAAAUUUAGUUCCCAGAUUGUCUGGAACACAAGGAUAUUUGAUCCAAAGUCCAGUGUUUCUUAUCACAGGCUUUAAGAUUACACAAUUUCCUGUUGUUCACAUCAAGAAUUUCCAACUGUAUUUCUAACUGAAGAGCAAAGAAUGAGACAUCCCACAGCAGCACAACAGUGAACAUUUAUACAGAGAAGAAUUUGCGCAGUUAAAGCAGAAUGAAUAGCAAAGUUACUUUCACCAUCCUUGCCCUCCUUGUACGUUAUUCACCUUCUGCACAAGGGCUGCUGCUGAUUUGCUUCCAGUUUUGUACACAAGUAGCGAUCCUGCAUCUUCAGCACGACUUGUGUUCUGGUAGAACAGGCAACACCGUAGACUUGCAAGUAAUGUAUUUCCAGACAUUUACAGGGUAAUAGAUUGUGACUGCAGUACUUGAUUUGAUAUCAGCAUGGCCCAACCCUAUUACCACAUCUUCAUCACAAAUGGAACAACCCAGCCACUGGCUCCUUCUUUGAAGGAAUUCUCACUGCUUGCAGCUUUUGGUUGAUUGAAUAAAAGGCCCACUGAGUCCAUGUUGAUCAUCACUCACAUGUUUACACUAGUUCAAUGUCGACCCACUUUCACAUCCACUCCCUACAGACUCGGGGCAAUUUACAGAUGCCCGUUAAGCUACAAACCCCACCGGUCUUUGGGAUGGGGGAGGAAACCAGAUCACCCGGAGAAAAGGCUGGUGCUCACAGGGAGAAUGGCACACGGACAACACCCAAGGUCAGGAUCGAACCCAGGUCUCUGGCGCAGUGAGGCAGCAGCACCACCAGCUGCACCACUGUGCCAUCCUAUACUGGUACCCGAUCGGAAGGAGACUUGAUUAUACAUAUCUGCUUGAUUUUCAAUGCUGCAGAUCAUCUGGUUUCACAGGGUGUGAGAGAAUGGUUUAGCUGGCAGUAGAAUUUUACUGAAGAUACAACUACAGAGACAUUUAUAAACUAUUCAAAUUAAUGCCAGCUUUCACAUUGACAACGUUCCAAACAAAAGGCAAGACAAAAUGUUUUGAGGGAAGGUGUCCAUAACUCACAGCCUGAGCCCAGUCCCUGUUUGAACCUGAGGGAACAGAGGACCAGCAGAGGUCCAGCAGAGGUCCAGCCCUCUGAAUGUGAUCCUGGUACAUGGUCCUCAGAUGGUGAAUUAGUCAGCGCUGGUCUGUGAACUUAUACAGGAGCAGUAUUGAAGCAGAUUCUGCACUUUAAUUGGCUUGGUAUACUUGUAAAUUGUCCCUAGUGUGUGCAGGGUAGUGUUAGUGUGCAGGGGUCGCUGGUAGGCACGGACCUGGUGGGCUGAAGGGCCUGUAUCCAUGCUGUAUCUCUAAAC
This is a long non-coding RNA of Leucoraja erinaceus (little skate), 2711 nucleotides long. RefSeq lists it as uncharacterized. The record is from RefSeq and is a predicted model, not a curated record. The transcript is spliced from 3 exons. NCBI's taxonomy places the organism in Eukaryota, Metazoa, Chordata, Chondrichthyes, Rajiformes, Rajidae.